GCUAUUUAGGUUAGAGUUUGAUCAUGGCUCAGGACGAACGCUGGCGGCGUGCUUAACACAUGCAAGUCGAGGGCACUUAGCAAUAAGUGACCGGCGAACGGGUGCGUAACACGUGAGCGACCUUGCCUAGUGGCGGGGGAUAGCCGGCCCAACGGCCGGGUAAUACCGCAUAGGGUGUCUUGUUCGCAUGGACGGGACAGCAAAGCUUCGGGGCAACUCGAGGCACCACAGGGGGGGCUCGCGGCCUAUCAGCUAGUUGGGGGGGUAAUGGCCCACCAAGGCGACGACGGGUAGCUGGUCUGAGAGGAUGGCCAGCCACAUUGGGACUGAGAGACGGCCCAGACUCCUACGGGAGGCAGCAGUGGGGAAUCUUGCGCAAUGCACGAAAGUGUGACGCAGCAACGCCGCGUGGGGGAAGAAGGCCUUCGGGGUGUAAACCCCUUUCAGGAGGGACGAAGGGCCGGCCGUUAAUAGCGGUUCGGCUUGACGGUACCUCCACAAGAAGCCCCGGCUAACUACGUGCCAGCAGCCGCGGUAAU
RNAcentral lists this ribosomal RNA (539 nucleotides) under uncultured bacterium. RNAcentral's name for it is "bacterial SSU rRNA". It matches the Rfam family "Bacterial small subunit ribosomal RNA", at positions 1 to 524 of the family's 1533-position model. The record is from RNAcentral.